GCCACAACUUCUCGAUUGGAUUCGCAUCAGGCGAUUUUGGCGGCCAGUCCAACAGUGUGACAUCAUGCUGGCGUAGCCAUUGUUAUGUUGACCGAGACGUGUGGAUUGGCGCGUUGUCCUGCUGGAAGACAAAGUCGUCUCCUAUCAAUGCCGCUGCGUCUGUAAGCAUGUGCUCUUCCAGAACCUGUUGGUACGCCGUGCUGUCCAAACGACCUUCCAGUUUCACCAGAGACCCCACACCAUGCCAACACAUCGAUCCCCACACCAUCACACUAGCCGCGUGCUGGACCGUACGGUCACAACAUUCAAGGAGAAAUUCCUCACCUUUGCGACGCCAAACGUACAGAGCACCAUCGUUUCCUAUGCUGACUUUUGACUCAUCUGUAAAAAGAACAGAUUUCCAGUCAUCCAAAGUCCAUUGUGUGCCUCCGAGCGUUCACUCCUGUCUCACUGAGACGACGACGGACUGUUCUACUUGACACCUGCUUGCCGGUUUCAUCAGCCAGCUGAUACGAGAGCAGUCGUGAUGGUGCUCUGCGGUUCUGCAGUGCCAUUCUCUUCAGUCGAUGAUCUUCCCGGAUUGUCGUUGCCUUCCCACGUCCAGAUCGUUUUUCAUAAUCGCUGCUGCCAUGGGAAAGCCGUUGCAGGCACUGAUGAACCGAAUUCCUGGAGCGGCGGACAAAAGCUGCGAUGUGACGCACAGAAUGGCCAACUGAGUGAAGGGCUUCAAUUUUGCCUCGCGUUUUUGGACUCGACUGUUUGCCUCGAGGCAUCGCUGCAACUCGUGAAAUAUCGCACGGAACAAGACUCUGCAACUGCGUGCAGCUGAACGUUCAGGCUAACUUAUCGCCUAAGUUUGGCGGUCUCAAGGGCAGCGGUUUUAGUGCAGCUGACAUUUUGGCGGUAGCAGUUUGAGAUUUCGCUACGUAAAACGUGGACCGGAAGUGGCACGUCAAUGUUCUUUUGUUGCUAUAACUUUUUUAGUUUUUGUCCUAGCAGGAUUGUUUUGUAAUUAAUUAGUGUCGCAUGAUUUUUGAAUACGUUGCUAGUAGGGCACUAGCAAACUUACAUGAAGGUCUGAAUGUCUUUGGAAGUAUAAUGCAAAGAUGGUUCUAGAUACUUUUGUUGCUAGUAGAGGUACAGAUGUAUGGGUUUAUGUUUAGUUUACUUUUUCAGACUCACAUAAGCAGGCUUUAGCACAAAUAAGAAUAUAUUUGUUUACAAAUAAAA
Molecule: long non-coding RNA, 1230 nt
Organism: Corticium candelabrum
Lineage: Eukaryota; Metazoa; Porifera; Homoscleromorpha; Homosclerophorida; Plakinidae
Exons: 2
Source: RefSeq, a predicted model, not a curated record